GACGAACGCUGGCGGCGUGCUUAACACAUGCAAGUCGAGCGAGAAAGCUCUUCGGAGUGAGUACAGCGGCGAACGGGUGAGUAACACGUGGGCAACCUGCCCUAGGGAGCGGGACAACCCGGGGAAACUCGGGCUAAUACCGCAUGUCCCCCUUGGUCAUAAGACUUUGGGGAAAAUGGUAGCUUCGGCCUCCGCCCUUGGAUGGGCCCGCGGCGCAUUAGCUCGUUGGUGGGGUAACGGCCUACCAAGGCAACGAUGCGUAGCUGGUCUGAGAGGACGAUCAGCCACACUGGGACUGAGACACGGCCCAGACUCCUACGGGAGGCAGCAGUGGGGAAUCUUGCGCAAUGGGCGAAAGCCUGACGCAGCAACGCCGCGUGCGGGAAGACGGCCUUAGGGUUGUAAACCGCUUUCAGGGGGGACGAAGCUUCCGAGGUUAAUAGCCUACGGGGUGACGGUACCCCCAGAAGAAGCCCCGGCUAACUACGUGCCAGCCGCCGCCGUAAAAC
This 509-nucleotide ribosomal RNA is filed under the name uncultured bacterium. RNAcentral's name for it is "bacterial SSU rRNA". It matches the Rfam family "Bacterial small subunit ribosomal RNA", at positions 28 to 526 of the family's 1533-position model. The record is from RNAcentral.